AGCAGCCGCGGUAAUUCCAGCUCCAAUAGCGUAUAUUAAAGUUGUUGCAGUUAAAAAGCUCGUAGUUGAAUUUCGGGGUUAGUAGGUUGGUCAUGCCUCUGGUAUGUACUGGUCUCACUGAUUCCUCCUUCCUGAUGAGCCGUAAUGCCAUUAAUUUGGUGUUGCGGGGAAUUUGGACUGUUACUUUGAAAAAUUAGAGUGUUUAAAGCAAGCUAACGCUUGAAUACAUUAGCAUGGAAUAAUGAAAUAGGACGUUCGAUCCUAUUUUGUUGGUUUCUAGGAUUGACGUAAUGAUUAAUAGGGAUAGUUGGGGGCAUUAGUAUUCAAUUGUCAGAGGUGAAAUUCUUGGAUUUAUUGAAGACUAACUACUGCGAAAGUAUUUGCCAAGGAUGUUUUCAUUAAUCAAGAACGAAAGUUAGGGGAUCGAAGACGAUCAGAUACCGUCGUAGUCUUAACCAUAAACUAUGCCGACUAGGGAUCGGAUGAUGUUAAUUUUUAAUGUACUCAUUCGGCGCCUUAA
This 520-nucleotide unclassified non-coding RNA is filed under the name uncultured Glomus. Its description in RNAcentral is "SSU rRNA". It matches the Rfam family "Eukaryotic small subunit ribosomal RNA", at positions 569 to 1091 of the family's 1831-position model. The record is from RNAcentral. Lineage: Eukaryota; Fungi; Glomeromycota; Glomeromycetes; Glomerales; Glomeraceae.